Molecule: RNA transcript, 6548 nt
Organism: Mobula hypostoma (lesser devil ray)
Lineage: Eukaryota; Metazoa; Chordata; Chondrichthyes; Myliobatiformes; Myliobatidae
Gene name: zinc finger protein 239-like
Exons: 3
Source: RefSeq, a predicted model, not a curated record
AUUUCGGAUCUCCCCCUUCCCCUUCCCACUUUCAAAUCUCUACUAUUUCUUCUUUCAGUUAGUCCUGACGAAGGGUCUCGGCCCGAAACGUCGACUGUACCUCUUCCUAUAGAUGCUGCCUGGCCUGCUGCGUUCCACUAGCAUUUUUUGUGUGUGUUUCUUGUUCCUCCAAUUUGUUUUGAGCUGUGAAAGUAUUUUUUUUAUAUCAGAACUAACCAUGGAGACUAAAAUUAUCUAAGUUGAAAUGUUGUCCUUCACUCACUGACGUGCUUUGUAAACUUUUAACAGUGUAGAAAAGUAAAAGGAUUUGUGCAUGCGAAUCACAAACACAACAUCACGUUCGUUCCGCUGUAUCUGUCAGUUCACCAGCGCUUGAAUGCCGCCGAUCCUUGAAUGUGGAGGUGGAGAUGCUGGAGAAGACAGCGCCCCACUCGCUACAAGGAGAGCCCGAUCACGUGUCCAUGUCCGUGAUCUGAUUGGAUACAUCGCCAUGACGUUGAUAGCAGUGUGAUGUCAUUCACUGGCUCUCAUUUUGGAAGGGAUUCAGUCGCCAUCGCAGAUACACCAACAGCUUCGCACUGGGAAGCGGCCGUUCACCUGCUCCGUGUGUGUGAAGAGACUCAUUCAGUUAACCCACCUUGUGAUGCUCCGGUGAGUUCACAAUAAAUAGAGGCCACAUUUCUGUCCGGAGUGAGCAAAGACUUUUACUAAACCACCCCAGCUGCUGUAGCACCAGCAACUUCACAUCAGGGAGGAAGUUCAAAUCAACUCUGUGUCAAAUGUUUAACCAUCACGGUGACUGACGGCAGCUGCAGGUUCAUGAGGGGCUGUUACUGUCAGAUUCUGCCGUUCUUGCGGCUGCUCAUCGCACCCAGGACUGAACCCUCGUCACUGAGCAUUGGAAAAGUCUGUUCUGCCGAUGUUAGCCUUAAACUAGACUGGUGUUUAAUAUUCUGGAUCUGUGAAAGAUAAAUCAGUUCUGUAUCAAAUCCCGUGUCUCAGGGCUCUGGACUAAGGUGGUUAAACUCCUUCCCUGCUCUUUUCAACUUUUUGGGGUGAUUUUCACUAAUUUCAAACGACUGUGCCUCAGACAGCUGGGUUGUUGCAAUGCGCUGCUAAAGUCUGACAGGUGACCAGAUAGUGAAUCUUCGAUGGAGCAGAGUCAGAAACCAAUGAGUUGCCAGCCUGAGUCAGGGCUUUGGGGCUUCGGAAAGAGAUGCGGCCUAGAGUUUACAAGAAGGAGGAAGAAGAGGAAUCAGACCAGCAAGAUGUGCCUACAAAUGAAAGAUCAAAAACAUUUGGAAACUAGUUGAUCAAAAAAGUGGUUAAUUUCUGCAAAAUACUGGUGGAAAUCAACAGAUCAGGCAGCCAAUGUGGAGAGGAACAAAUGAACAACGUUUAGGCCGAGCCCCCUCAGCAUUCAUUGGCUGUGUACUCCUUUGCUUAGUUGCUGCCUGAACUGCAGAGUUCCUCCAGCAUUUUGUGUGUAUGUGUCUACAUUUCCAGCAACAGCAGAAUCUCUUGUGUUUUAUAUCUGCAUUUGUAAGAACGUUUUACUUUGGCAUUAAACACGCGGGACGUUUGCUGAUAUUAAGUGUAUUGUUGUAUUAGAGCUGCUUUCUGCGUUAAAAGAGGUGAUGAGUUUUCUACACAAAAAGAAACUGAGGUAUGUACUUGAACCGGUGCUUGCAGAAACUUUCAAUGGCACCGUGAUUAACUUGAAAGCUCUUUAACAAAUCUCACCGUCGCUGAAGCACCGACCGAAUGCGCAGGCGUCAGGGUCGCGGCUGGUCCCGAAUAUCACGCAUGCGCAGUACACAAAAGGCCUCGGAUAUCGCUGUUGGUGAGUGUUUCUCCGUGAGACCGUUUUCACUACCGACUGAGGGGCAAUUGCUGUGACAUCGGGAAACUGUGACCCGUGAUCCCGGGAUAGUCCUGUUCUCUUCCCUCUCUCUCAGCCCCACGAUCCCUGCACGGAUCCCGGGGAGCUUCCGGCUGAUGAGGAAAUGGGAGCCGAUGGAUCUCUCAGACAGAGCUGAGCUCCAGCUAUCCAAAUGCAAGGACUGGGAACUCGGAGAAAGGGAACAAAAUCUUUUACAUCACCAGAUGGUGACUGAGGAAGAAGCUUGUUGACGGAGGAUACCCGGAGGCGAGCAGCUCAGACACGGAAUCAGGAACUGAAUUGAAUUGACUUUAUUUCUUACAUCGAUCAGGAGUAAAAAUCUUUACCUUACGUCUCCUUCUAAAUGUGCAGCGUGCAAUCAUAGUAAUUUAUAACAGUUUAUAAUAAAUAAAACAGACAAUGUAAUAUAGAGUACACUCAAAUCAGCGUGAGUUCAUCAGUCUGACGGCCUGGUGGAAGAAGCUGUCCCGGAGCCUGUUGGUCCUGGCUUUUAUGUUGCGGUACCGCUUCCCGGAUGGUAUCAGGAGAGUGACAGUGAUGUGAUUUCCUGUGUCACGGGUACAGACAGUCGUCUCAAGUGAGGAGUUUGUGUGGAGAUGCAGCUUCCCUGGAGGUGGAGGAAAGAGGGCACACCAACAGGUGGAACCAGCUGUGGGAAGACAUGGUUUGUCAGGUCUGACGAUGAGCUGAAUGUACCAUAACCUUCAGACUGAAUCAGAAAACCAUUCUGAGGGUAUUUGAAAUGGCAGAAGCAGGGGAGAUGUGAUCACAUGUGCAGAGGGCAGUGGUUGUGUCUCCAUCAGACCCUCAGUGAGAUGGCUCAAGUUACAAUGUGCAGGGAUGAAAGCACAGUGUUUGGGGCUGGAUUCUGACACAGUGAGAGGGUUAGUUUUGUUGUAAGGAGGCAACAUUACUGUCCCCUUACUGUCUUCCCUCUCCACCCCAUCCUCCCUCUCACCCCCACAUUGGACAUAAGUUCAGGGUGAAAGUGAAUUCUUUGAGGGGAGUCUGAAGGGGAAUUCUACACUCAGAGGUUGGUGGGAGUGUGGAAUGAGCUGCCAGUGAAAGUGGUGAAUGUGGGUUCGAUUUAGACACUAAAGAGAAAUUUGGGUGAUGAGAUGGAUGGGAGGUGUAUGGAGGCUAUGGUGCACAUAGUUGGAACUAGGCAGUAAAAACAUAAACAGGUCAGCAUUGACUAGAAGGGCCGAAGGGCCUGUUUCAGUGCUGCUGGGCUCUGUGACUCUAAUAAUAUUCUGAUCUGUAAUUUCCACAGUCAGUGCUUUGCUGCUAAUGACUGAACCCAGAAAUUUACCCAAACAAGAACUGAAAGACUCUUAGCUGGCUACAGAAAGCGUUUACAAGCUGUGAUACUUGUCAAGGGGGUGUUACUAAGCACUGACCAUGCAGGUAGCCCAAACUUUUGCUUCGGGCCCUUUUCCUUUCUUGCUAUUUUGAAACUGUAAACAAUGGAAAUAAAAAUGUAAUCCUGCUUAAAAUAUUAAAGAAAUGUGCUAUAUUUAACUUUGUGCCUUUUGGAAAUCAGGUCAUCUUUUACUCGCUUAGCUAUUCACAGUAACAGAAAUUUAACCAGGGGUGCCCAAACAUUUACAUGGCACUGUAUAUAUCCUGUGCCUUCUGAAUUGCUUCCAGAAAUUCCUGCCGUUGCUGCUCUGUUUUUAUCCCUGCCCGCGUUCUUUGAAAAUCAAUUUUGACCAGUUUAUCUCUUAUGCCUCUCUAAUUCUCUUUAUUCCUCAUCUGACUUUAGCUUCUCCUUCUCUAAUGUCAGGGUGAAUUUGAUCAUAUAAAGAUCACUUGCCCCUAAGGGUUCUUUGAACUUAAGUGAACUAAUUCAUUCUGCAUUAUUACAACACCCAAUCCAGAAUAGUUGAUCCCCAAGUGGGCUCAACCACGAGCUGCUCUAAAAAAGCAUCUUGUAGGCAUUCCAGGAAUUCCUCGUCUUGAGACCAACACCGUCCUAAUUUUCCUAAUCACCUGCAUGACAAUCCCCCAUGGCUAUUGUAACAUUGCCCUUUUGGCACACAUUUUCUAUCUCCCAUUGUAAUUUGUGGACCACAUACUUACUACUGUUUGGAGGUCUCUAUACAAUUCCCAUCAGGGAUUUUUUUUACAUUUGCUGUUCCUUAAUUCUACCCACAGAUUCUACACCUUCCAACCCUAUGCCACCUCUUUCUAAUGACUUUACUUAAUAUUUUACAAACACAGCCACAGAAUCCCACUAUCAGCUUGUUCCUGGCUUGUUCUUUCAAGAAACAUAUAAGUAUCUGGGAAACAAGAGGACCUGCAGAUGCUAGAAAUCUACAGAACUACACACAAACUGCUGGAGGAUCUCAGCAUGUCAGGCAGCAUCUAUGGAUGGGAAUCAAUAUUUUGGGCCAAGACCCUUCAUCGGGACUCUUGAUCCCAAUGUAUCUGGAAUAUCAACAAGCAAAGAAAAUAGAAAGUAGUGUGAAGUAGGGAAAACCUUUGACAAAAUUUCGUUCAAGGCUUUAAAAAACCUGCCAAACAGAGCUCAAUAGUUAACAAACACAACAAGGGCAAUAAACACUUUCAUCAAUACCAACAUUGGCAUUUUUAAAAUGAAAGUAUCUUGGUUCCAUUUCAAUCAGUAAAAUUUAUAAAGAUAAAUAAGAACUUUGGAAAACUUUAGAAAGGACUAUUUACACUGAAACCCACUUAGAUUAACACUACCUUGGACAGAAGAAGGAAGUGAAAUAACACACAUUAAAACAAAAUCACACAACAGUCAGAUAAAACUUCUAAGUACGAGGGGUGAUUCAUAAAUUCAUGGCCUAAGGUAGGAGGAGAUGAGUUAUACAGCCCUCGUUACAUGCACAUGCAGUUCAACUCUGAGUGAUUAUGCAGAAAGUUUGAAGUUAAGAACUUAUCAGGGGUAACUGAUAGGUUUGUGGCCUAAGGUAGAAGGAAAUGAGUUAUUAACUUCAAACUUUCCGCAUAAUCACUCAAAGAGCUGACCUGCAUGUGCAUAUAAUGAGAGCUUUAUAACUCAUCUCCUUCUAACUUAGGCCAUGAACUUAUCAAUCGCCCAUCUGUGGACACUUUCUGGAGGUCCAAGAUCCGUGUGCUCCACGACUGCUGGACUAAGUGUGUAAAUGUAGGAGGGGACUAUGUUGAAAAAUAAAUGUGCUAGGUUUUCUAAAACUGACUCUUACCUGAGGCCGCGAACAUAUCAAUCACCCCUUGUAUAUAUCUUCAUCAAAAAUGAACAGGAUUCAGCACUCCCUGUGUGUAUAUGCAAUCAUGUAAGAAAUACAGACCAGAAAACAUAAAUGAGAGGUCAAAUCAGAAAAAUGAAUCAUCACUAUGGAAGAAAACAUUAACCAGUGGAAUGAGUAUGACCCUCCAUGGGAGACGUCCCAAUGAUCUGAGCAGACAAGAUGGUGACAAGGAAGCAUCGAGCACCUGACUGAGAGUUGGAGACCUCUUCCCAGAAACAGAGGGGUCCUUGCAGAACUACAGGACAAGGUGGUUAACAAAAGGAAAAGAAAAUCAAAAACACAUGAAAUAUAAACAAACAAGGCAGCAAGUGCAGAAAAUGCCAAGAGAAACCAGACACAAUCCAACACAUUUCAGGAUUCUGCAGCAGUUUAACUCUGUCAAUCAGCCUCCAAAUGUUGCUACUCUGUCAUUCUUUGCCGCACCCCACUGCUGAUUCCCUUCUCCUCGACUUAUUUAGUCUGCAGAAAGUUCAAGGGAAACCUCUUCACCCACAGAGUGGUGACUGUUUCGAACCCAUCACCACAGGGAGAGCGAGAGAUGAACAACAGGGGAGGAUUUAAAAGGAUUUGUGGAACUGAAUCACUGGCAGGGUCCAGCCGGCCUGAGUUGACUCUCUACUGUACACUAGUUGUGUUAUAAAUUCACUAAGUACCAUAGACAGAGUUUAAAAUAGAACUGAUUUAUUUGUCUCUUAUCAAGAAUAUUAAACUCCAGUCCCAUUAAAGGUGAAUAUGCAGCAGAAGAAACUCCUCCCAUGCCCAGUGACCAGGGUGCAGAACUGGGUAUGGUGAGCAGCAGCAAUAAUUGCAGAGUUCAGCACCGACAGUCACUCUCGAAAUUGCAAUGGUGAUGGACAAAUAUCCAGCAUGCAGCUUAUUGAAACUUUCUUCCCAGUGUGAACCCGGUAGUGGGUCACAAGUGUAACAUGCUGUAAGGUUUCACUGCUAAUGUAACGGCCUCUCUGUGAUGUUUCACUGCUGAGGGAAUGGUUUCUCUGUAGCAGCAAUGUUUAGGUUACAACUAGAGAUAACAGGGUUUUGGAGUGCGGGGUUAUCCAAUGACAGAAAUGUUCUUCCUUGUGAGUCUGGAAGAGAGAUUUCAUGGUCUUUUGCUGGGGAGAGAUGAGAAGACGUGAAUGGAGAGAGUGGGCCCAUUUUCUUUUUUUUUUGUUUUCUUUACUAACCCUACAGUCAAAGUAAGAAUUUUAAAUCUCAUUCGUUUAAUCAGAUAUUGUGUACUGUUUGUUAUUUUGGGGGACUGAUUUGUAACACAGGACACAUCACACAGCAUCCACCAAAACGAGAUUUCAUAAGUUUGGCCGUGCUGGGGGGGCUAUCACCCCCUAUAUUAUGCUGCUAGCUGAAGCGAGAGUUACAUAAGAUUACAU